RNAcentral lists this ribosomal RNA (392 nucleotides) under uncultured bacterium. RNAcentral describes it as "bacterial SSU rRNA". It matches the Rfam family "Bacterial small subunit ribosomal RNA", at positions 29 to 424 of the family's 1533-position model. The record is from RNAcentral.
AUUGAGCGCUGGCGGCAUGCCUUACACAUGCAAGUCGAACGGCAGCGCGGGAGCAAUCCUGGCGGCGAGUGGCGAACGGGUGAGUAAUAUAUCGGAACGUGCCCAGUAGUGGGGGAUAGCCCGGCGAAAGCCGGAUUAAUACCGCAUACGACCUGAGGGUGAAAGCGGGGGAUCGCAAGACCUCGCGCUAUUGGAGCGGCCGAUAUCAGAUUAGCUAGUUGGUGGGGUAAAGGCCUACCAAGGCAACGAUCUGUAGUUGGUCUGAGAGGACGACCAGCCACACUGGGACUGAGACACGGCCCAGACUCCUACGGGAGGCAGCAGUGGGGAAUUUUGGACAAUGGGCGCAAGCCUGAUCCAGCAAUGCCGCGUGCAGGAAGAAGGCCUCGGUU